This 534-nucleotide ribosomal RNA is filed under the name Conioptilon mcilhennyi (black-faced cotinga). RNAcentral's name for it is "partial 16S ribosomal RNA". It matches the Rfam family "Bacterial large subunit ribosomal RNA", at positions 1847 to 2591 of the family's 2925-position model. Lineage: Eukaryota; Metazoa; Chordata; Aves; Passeriformes; Cotingidae. The record is from RNAcentral.
UGAAGGUGAAGCCUGCCCAGUGACAAUCUGUUCAACGGCCGCGGUAUCCUAACCGUGCAAAGGUAGCGCAAUCAAUUGUCCCAUAAAUCGGGACUUGUAUGAAUGGCUAAACGAGGUCUUAGCUGUCUCUUAUAGAUAAUCAGUGAAAUUGAUCUUCCCGUGCAAAAGCAGGAAUACACUCAUAAGACAAGAAGACCCUGUGGAACUUAAAAAUCAGCAGCCACUCCUGAAUACUUACCACCACCGAACAUAUUUAUCCUAUACACUGCUGGCCUGCAUUUUUCGGUUGGGGCGACCUUGGAGAAAAACCCAUCCUCCAAAAAUCAGACCACCCAUCUUCACAAAGAAUAACCUAUCAACGUACUAAUAGUAACCAGACCCAAUAUAAUUGACCAAUGGACCUAGCUACCCCAGGGAUAACAGCGCAUUCUCCCCCAAAAGUCCCCUUCGACAGGGAGGUUUACAACCUCGAUGUUGGAUCAGGACAUUCUGGUGGUGCAGCCGCUACCAAGGGUUCGUUUGGUCAACCAUUAA